Molecule: ribosomal RNA, 675 nt
Filed under: Triticum aestivum (bread wheat)
Lineage: Eukaryota; Viridiplantae; Streptophyta; Magnoliopsida; Poales; Poaceae
Description: partial small subunit ribosomal RNA
Source: RNAcentral
AUGCCUCCACCUGCGUCCAGGCCGAUGUUCCGGAUCGCUCCCGCUUCCUCACCCACCUGGCCGCCUGCCGAGUCGCACCUCCACCUCCCGCUGGCCCGGGCUAGUUCUUGCCUGCUCGCCGCCUCCGCCAUUUACCCUGCAACGGUGCUGCGCCGGCCUCCGGUGUCCGCCACCGGCUCCUCCCGUGCCCAGACGCGCCUGUCCGUCCGACUCUGCCCGCGCCGGCUUGUGGCGACCCGGCUAGCUGGCUCCCGCGCCGGCCUGCCCGUGCCGGCUCUGAGUCGACCCGGCCUCGUCCCGCUCCGGUCCGUCCCCACGCCGGCUUCGCCUCCCCGUCCGGCCCUGCUGGCCACCCGAGCCCCUGCCGGGUCGCCACGCUCAGGUUCCGCCCGUGCCUCAUCGUCUGCGCCUCGCGUCGCCUUUGCCUCGACCACGUGGCCUCGGCCUCUGCCGUCUCUGGCUCAGCCGCGCGCCUGCAGCCCAAUCCGGAUUGGCCGGCCGGCUCUAGGCCGACCACGGCCUCACGCCUCCGCCCGGCUCGCGCCCACGCACUUCAGUGCCAUCUGCUCCAAUCCGUGCUCCUCCGAUUUGAUUCUAUCCCAUGCUGAAUUGCUGAAGUGUUUGGUUUUUGCCCCUGUUCUGGGUUACCGUCGUGGUCCUCGCUUCUGCCCUUGA